AUGGCCGACGUGAGCCCCUCCCUGAGCCGCGCCGUGGCCACUCGGCCGCCGCGGAGGCGACGGCCGACGACUGGCACGCCCCAGCCACCGGCGGAGACGGCGACGGACAGGAAGAGCAAGGUCACCGGCGCAGAGGCGAGGGCGACAAGCCGCAAGGCGACCACGGCGUGGCUGGUGGCGUACCAGGAGGCCGCGUACGCCUGGGACGACGCGGUGGACGAUCUGGAGGCUCACGUGGAGAAGGAGAAGGAGCAGCAGCCGUCGCCGGAGGGGGCUAGGAGAUCAUCGAUUCUCCGUUGGCUCUUACCAUCAUCAGCUGUCCAUAGGACAGAGAAGAAAUUGAACACCAAUAUUGAAAAGCUGGGCAAGAAAGUGCUUGCGAUUGUACAGCGGGGACGGGAACAAGUUCUUAUACAAAUGGACUGGCAGCGACAUGAUUGGAUAAGUAAAUUUUCCGGGAGUCCGUCCACUAACUCUGGUAGCCUGGGAAACCUAGAGCAGGAAAAGAUGGAGUUGAUUGAUAUUUUGACUGACAGCCAAAGCUCCAGCACUGUUGUUGCCAUAGUUGGGUGCUGUGGAAUUGGCAAGACUACAUUGGCACGAAAGGUAUAUGAUGAUUGCUACACGAGAAAUGUUUUCAAUACAACUAUAUGGGUAGAUGGUUCCAUAGAGUCAACUGGUCCGGGAUUACUGUCCGCGGUUGUACGUGCCGCUGGUGGGAAACCUGGAGCAGAAGAACAAAGUAGGGAGAAAAUUAUGGACAUGUUGGCUGUAAUGCUUGAAGGGAAGAGAUUCUUACUGGUUCUUGAUGAUAUAUCCAGUCACCAUAACCAUGAUAGUUUCCUUGAAGACCGCUCGUUUGUAAAGCAUGGAAGCCGAAUCCUGAUCACAACGCGAGACCAGAGUGUUGCAGCAGGAAUGAAUCGUAGCUACAUUCAUAAUAUGCAGGAAUGGCCAUUCCAAGACUUCUGGACUCUGCUCUGUGCUAGUGCUGGCCUGGACAAGGAACAUGAUCAGGAGAACUUGAGGGAAAUUGUGAUAACAAUUAUCCAGAGGUGUAACAAGGUCCCACUGGCUAUCAAGAUUAUCGGCGGUGUCCUAGCAACCAAGGACCCAACACAGGCGGAGUGGCAGCAGGUUAAUGAAAGUGAACUGUGGUCCUUGGAUCUGGAGGACAUUCCUGGUGGGAUGAAGAAACUGAGUGGGCCUGUCUACAUGGCAUACAGUAAUUUGCCAUACCGUUUGAAGCUAUGUUUCCUUUACUGCCUGCAGCUCCCAGAAGGCUUUGUGAUUAGCCAGCAUGUUGUUACUCAGAUGUGGAUAGCAGAGGGCUUUAUCAUCGAUGAAGAAAAUGACUGUGAUCCUCAAGAUAUCGCAGACCGCUUUUACAGGGAGCUGGUACUCACAAACCUUCUGGAGCCUGAGAUUGGCUCUGCUGACAUGACAAGAUGCACAGUACAUGGAUGUGUCAGGUCAGUUUUGCAACUCUUAAUUAAGCACCGGUGGUUUGGGAAGAACAAGUGGGCAUCUAGUAUUGAAGAAGCAGGAAAUAUGACAAGGUUCAGGACAGUUAUCUGCAAGAAUCCCUUGGCUGACCGUGGCCUGGACAAAGUGUUUAUGGGGCGGAGAUAUUUGAGGGUGUUGGACCUUACUGGCACCGGUAUUAGGCACAUUCCAGGGUCAAUAGCACUUCUCCAUCACCUUAGGCUCUUAAAUCUUUCUCUGACUCAAAUCAUGGAGCUUCCAGAGUCCAUUGAGAGCCUCAGAAAUCUGCAAUUCUUGCUCCUCCGGUGUUGCAAUGGGCUUCAUUCUCUGCCAGAGGGGAUCGGUAAGCUGCACGACUUGCAGUGCCUCGAUCUCGAAGGAUCAGUGCCACAGCUUUUCUUGCCAAGCUUGGUAGGCUUGAAGCAGCUAACUACUCUGCGUGGUUUCAUAGUGAACCACAAGGAAGUAACUGAGAAAGAUGUCAGUGGGUGGCCGUUGGAAGACCUGGAACAUAUGAACUCUUUGAGAAGCCUCCAGAUACUGAAGAUAGACAGAGUUGUGCAGUUUACCAGGGCACAAGAAGCUGCACUGGAGAUGAAGUCUCACCUCACACAGCUUGAUCUAUGUGGUAGCACCAGUGAUAUGCAUCUGCACGUACCAGCGGCAGAAGCUAGAAGGCUCCAUGGAGUUCUCAACAGUCUCUGCCCUCCCGGAUGCCUGGAGUCUCUCAAAAUAGCAAGUUACCACGGGCGAUUAUUUCCAGAUUGGUUACUGCAGCUCCCCAGUCUCCAACGGCUGGUUCUUGCAGAUUGCAAAUUCUGUGAGAGCCUCCCUUGUCUCGGACAGCUACCUCAACUCAAGUUUCUCACCAUAACCAGCUGUUCCAAGUUGCGCACCAUUCAGCGAGGUUGGUACACAAAACCAGCAUUUCUGAAGCUAGAGCAUCUCCAUGUAGAUGACAUGGACAAGUUGGAGUCAUGGACGGGAUUCCAAACUGGUGACUUUCCUUCCCUAAUCAAGUUUCAUCUAGAUAGCUGCCCCAACAUAGAGUCACUCCCAGCUUGCCUUGAGUACUCCAAACAACUGACAAGCAUGAAGGUUGUUGCUGCUGGUAGCCUCAUAGUAAUUGGCAACCUACCCAUGCUCAAAGAGUUAAUUGUGCAAGACAGCAAAACUCUUACUUCUGUCUCCAAUCUUCCAUCACUUGAAGUCCUGAUGGUCAUUGGCUGCUCCAGGCUGCAAGAUGUGAAGGGACUCAGAUGUGUAAAGCACCUCCGCAUAGUAGACAGAGAGCUCACAAGGCUUCCAGAUUGGUUGACAGGGCACGCUUCAGUGCUACAGACAUUGACUGUAUUUGGCACGGAGGAACUGCUUGGCAUGUUAGUUCCCAGUGGCAAAGAUUGGCCGGCCAUUCGUGACAUCGAAAAAGUUUAUGGUAACCUGACUGAUGGAUCUCCAUUCUUCACAUACACAAAGAAGAUGGGCGAUUUCCAAGCAUUUGGAGAGCAACGAGAUCUUGUUGUCAGGUCAGUAGUUGACCAUCAAUUGGAGGGCUGGUCUUCACAUUUCAUAGCUAGGAGUUUUAUCUCUCGAAUCAGCAUGCACAAUACCAUCAAAUGGUAUUUGAUUCCUCUGCUUGCCACUGCCCUGGUGCUUUUGCUGUCCAUGGUUGAGGAGAUUAAAGUCAUAGGAGUCUUCCUCGUCUUCUUCGCUAUCAUAGCAUGCUUUUGGUGUCUUUACUUCUUCAGUAUCUGUAAAGCUUCGAACUAA
This 3255-nucleotide ribosomal RNA is filed under the name Triticum aestivum (bread wheat). RNAcentral's name for it is "partial small subunit ribosomal RNA". Lineage: Eukaryota; Viridiplantae; Streptophyta; Magnoliopsida; Poales; Poaceae. The record is from RNAcentral.